RNAcentral lists this long non-coding RNA (1558 nucleotides) under Salmo salar (Atlantic salmon). Its description in RNAcentral is "lncRNA (ENSSSAG00000109182.1)". Lineage: Eukaryota; Metazoa; Chordata; Actinopteri; Salmoniformes; Salmonidae. The record is from RNAcentral.
CAUUAAACCAGUUGUAGCUUGGUCUAUAUCUGUACUUCAUUAAACCAGUUGUAGCUUGGUCUAUAUCUGUACUUCAUUAAACCAGUUGUAGCUUGGUCUAUAUCUGUACUUCAUUAAACCAGUUGUAGCUUGGUCUAUAUCAAUACUUCAUUAAACCAGUUGUAGCUUGGUCUAUAUCUAUACUUCAUUAAACCAGUUGUAGCUUGGUCUAUAUCUAUACUUCAUUAAUCCAGUUGUAGCUUGGUCUAUAUCUAUUAAACCAGUUGUAGCUUGGUCUAUAUCUGUACUUCAUUAAACCAGUUGUAUUUUGGUCUAUAUCAAUACUUCAUUAAACCAGUUGUAUUUUGGUCUAUAUCAAUACUUCAUUAAACCAGUUGUAUUUUGGUUAAUAUCUGUACAGUGAUAGCAGCAUACAGCAGUGAUAUCAGACUAGAGGUAGAGGUUAGCAGCAUACAGCAGUGAUAUCAGGCUAGAUGUUAGCGGCAUACAGCAGUGAUAUCAUGCUAGAGGUAGAGGUUAGCAGCAUACAGCAGUGAUAUCAGGCUAGAUGUUAGCAGGUUAGCGGCAUACAGCAGUGAUAUCAGGCUAGAGGUAGAGGUUAGCAGCAUACAGCAGUGAUAUCAGGCUAGAGGUAGAGGUUAGCAGCAUACAGCAGUGAUAUCAGGCUAGAUGUUAGCAGGUUAGCAGGAUACAGCAGUGAUAUCAGGCUAGAGGUAGAGGUUAGCAGGUUAGCAGCAUACAGCAGUGAUAUCAGGCUAGAUGUUAGCAGGUUAGCAGGAUACAGCAGUGAUAUCAGGCUAGAGGUAGAGGUUAGCAGCAUACAGCAGUGAUAUCAGGCUAGAGGUAGAGGUUAGCAGCAUAUGGCAGUGAUAUCAGGCUAGAUGUUAGCAGGUUAGCAGCAUACAGCAGUGAUAUCAGGCUAGAUGUUAGCAGGUUAGCAGCAUACAGCAGUGAUAUCAGGCUAGAUGUUAGCAGGUUAGCAGCAUACAGAAGUGAUAUCAGGCUAGAUGUUAGCAGGUUAGCAGCAUACAGCAGUGAUAUCAGGCUAGAUGUUAGCAGCAUACAGCAGUGAUAUCAGGCUAGAUGUUAGCAGGUUAGUAGGAUACAGCAGGGAUAUCAGACUAGAGGUAGAGGUUAGCAGCAUACAGCAGUGAUAUCAGGCUAGAUGUUAGCAGGUUAGCAGCAUACAGCAGUGAUAUCAGGCUAGAGGUAGAGGUUAGCAGCAUACAGCAGUGAUAUCAGGCUAGAGGUAGAGGUUAGCAGCAUACAGCAGUGAUAUCAGGCUAGAGCCAAGACAGUCUGUUAGGUUUAGUCUGCUGAACACCUUCAUCUCACGGUGAAUGCAGUCAUAGAACUAGAUCUUCUGUAAAACAUCACCUUGAUGUAUUUUACUUUAAUUAUCAAGGUCUUCUAUGCUCCCCAGUCUCAGUCGGUGGAUAGUUUUCGUUAGUUAGCUACUAACCAGUUAAAAUGUGAUUGUGUGUAACGGCUGUGUGAAGAAGUAGACCAAGGUGCAGCGUGUUGAGUGAUCAUAUUUCAUUUUAAUCGAGACACUUUG